This 253-nucleotide ribosomal RNA is filed under the name uncultured bacterium. Its description in RNAcentral is "partial 16S ribosomal RNA". It matches the Rfam family "Bacterial small subunit ribosomal RNA", at positions 524 to 776 of the family's 1533-position model. The record is from RNAcentral.
GACAGAGGGUGCAAACGUUGCUCGGAAUCAUUGGGCGUAAAGCGCACGUAGGCGGCUCCAAAAGUCGGAUGUGAAAUCCCUGGGCUCAACCGAGGAAGUGCAUCCGAAACUGCGGAGCUUGAGUAUGGAAGAGGGUCGCGGAAUUCCCGGUGUAGAGGUGAAAUUCGUAGAUAUCGGGAGGAACACCAGUGGCGAAGGCGGCGACCUGGGCCAAUACUGACGCUGAGGUGCGAAAGCGUGGGGAGCAAACAGG